RNAcentral lists this unclassified non-coding RNA (344 nucleotides) under uncultured bacterium. RNAcentral describes it as "contains 16S-23S intergenic spacer region". The stretch from base 1 to 125 matches the Rfam family "5.8S ribosomal RNA", at positions 30 to 154 of the family's 154-position model. The record is from RNAcentral.
GCAUCGAUGAAGAACGCAGCGAAAUGCGAUAAGUAGUGUGAAUUGCAGAAUUCAGUGAAUCAUCGAAUCUUUGAACGCACAUUGCGCCCUUUGGUAUUCCUUAGGGCAUGCCUGUUCGAGCGUCAUUUAAACCUUCAAGCUCAGCUUGGUGUUGGGUGACUGUCCGCCGCCUCCGGGCGGUCGGACUCGCCUCAAAUUGAUUGGCGGCCGGUACUUUGGCUUCGAGCGCAGCAGAAACGCGAACUCGAGGCCGUCGUCCUGGCUCCCAGAAGCUAUCUUCACAAUUUUGACCUCGGAUCAGGUAGGGAUACCCGCUGAACUUAAGCAUAUCAAUAAGCGGAGGA